UGCAGUCGAGCGAGAAGCUACCUUCGGGUAGUGGACAGCGGCGCACGGGUGAGUAACGCGUACACAAUCUACCUUAUAGAGGAGAAUAGCCCUGGGAAACUGGGAUUAAUGCUCCAUAGUAUUACACUUUGGCAUCAAGGUGUAAUUAAAGCUCCGGCGCUAUAAGAUGAGUGUGCGUACUAUUAGCUAGUUGGUAAGGUAACGGCUUACCAAGGCUACGAUAGUUAGGGGGCGUGAGAGCGUGACCCCCCACACGGGUACUGAGACACGGACCCGACUCCUACGGGAGGCAGCAGUAAGGAAUAUUGGACAAUGGGCGCAAGCCUGAUCCAGCCAUCCCGCGUGGAGGAUGACUGCCCUAUGGGUUGUAAACUCCUUUUAUUUGAGAAGAAACGCCUGGAUUUAUCCGGGCCUGACGGUAUCUUAUGAAUAAGCACCGGCUAACUCCGUGCCAGCAGCCGCGGUAAUACGGAGGGUGCAAGCGUUAUCCGGAAUCACUGGGUUUAAAGGGUGCGUAGGUGGUUUAGUAAGUCAGAUGUGAAAGCCCGGCGCUCAACGUCGGAAUUGCAUUUGAUACUGCUGAACUUGAAUCAGGUUGAGGUGGGCGGAAUGUGGCAUGUAGCGGUG
RNAcentral lists this ribosomal RNA (627 nucleotides) under uncultured bacterium. RNAcentral describes it as "bacterial SSU rRNA". It matches the Rfam family "Bacterial small subunit ribosomal RNA", at positions 56 to 683 of the family's 1533-position model. The record is from RNAcentral.